UAGUGAAAAACAAAAAAACAAGUCUCGAAGUUCAUCAACAUGAUGUUUAAUCUAUAUCUAUAAUACUAUAUAAAGCAUUUCCCAUGUCUAGAUUCAAUGAGGUUCCAAUGAUUCUUACAAUUCAACCAUUCUCUAUUAAAUGCGAUCAUCAGUUUAUGCAAUCCAAUCGUUUUUGCUUUAAUGGCCCGUCCGUUUCUAGCAAUCCACUAUAUUAACAAGCCAUCACUGAAAUUAGGCACAAAUCAUUGAUUCAAAUCAACAACCGGCGAGGAGAGGAAGGGAGUUUGACGGUGGUGGUUGGGCUUAACUAAAAAGAGGAAUAAGAUGAGAGUAGGAUGUUCGAUGCGCUGGACAGGUAAUUCAUUUUCUUCGUUCUCAGUCAGAUUGGGUCUGCAUUUGUCAAUUAGGAUUUAUGAGAAGGUAUCUGAUUAGAGCUUUUAAGUUCAUUCUUCUUGUUCGAUUCUCAUUAGUAGUGUGAUGAUAUGAUAAUUUCAUUUUGAAUCAUGUUUAUUGGUUGUGAAUUUGGGGAUUAUCGACAUGAAUUAGUUUAUAUUUUUUGUCUAAUUCAGUCAUGCACGCCACAUGUUUGAUAAUAUGCCUAUGCGAGAUGUUUGUUUUCUUGAAUCAAUAGUUGAACUCCAGAUCUGAAGUUUAUUGCCAUUAGAUCAUGUGUUUAAAUUUUGUUUAAGUAGUUUGAUCAUUUGGGUUGAUGUAUGAAGCAUGUUGGUUGAUCAUUGCUGUAAACUUUUGAGGUAUGCAUUUUAAAGAAAAAAAUCAUGUUUGCUUAGUGUAGGCACAAUCAUGUUUCAUUUUCAACUGGAAUUCAUCAACAAGUAGAAUCAAGAUCAUGAUGGUUGGUAUUUCUAAUAUAGUAUGCUAGAUAUAUACGUUUCCAGAAACUAGAAUACUGAUCUAUGCAUAUAAUAUAUUGGUAUAUCAACUGCCUAAAUUUAUAUUUACAUUUUCUGUUGAUGAUGAAAUUUAUACUAUAUCUGUAGUUGGCAAUACUUCAUUCACUUUAGACUCAUUGAACUUGAAACCAGGUGAAAAAAACUCACACGGUCACAAGAUUCGCGUAUUUGAAAGAGUGUAACCAAGUUGGUGGCGCAAUAUAAAGAAUAAUACACAGCCCACUUAAGGCAAUCUCAUCCCCAAUCUUUUUACCCUGAGAAUAUAUAUUCUAUAAAUUCAUUGAAGGAAUCUGUUUGAACAAAUAUUGACCAGCCCUUUUGAACUUUCAUCUUUUCAUGUACUGCUAAGUAAUUAGGCCCGUAGAAUGUGGAGGACUUAAACCCGUGGUCUUUAAUUUGCCCAUGUUGUUCAGUCAACUAAACUAACUUAAUGAUCAAAAAUCAAUGUUUUUUUCUAUGACUGAACUACUGCAAAUUCAAGAAGAAUAUAUGUGUUCAACUUGUUCCUUGAAACAGUAUCUGUCUUUCUAAAGACACCUUUAGUAGUUUUCAAGCUUCUCUUCUUUGGAAUUUCUUGUUUGGAGAAAAGGUGUCCAACUUUGCUGAUUUUUAUAUAAAUAGGAGUGGCAUGAAAACCUCAAACUUCAAGCAAAUCUCAUCUCCCUCUUCCUAUUAGAAAUGAUGUGGCAGAGUUCUUAUUUCAUUACAGAAGCCUACAUGGCUUAUUGCAGCUUCUAACAUGUUUGUGGUCAUUCAUGACAUUGGCAACUGUCAGGUAUUUACUCGCAUUCCACAUGACUUGAUUUGGCAAGUUUAACGGACUUGGUUGGACGGGUCAAACCAGCCAAAACCAGUUUGCUUUUUUUCAGUUUUUAUGUAAAAAAAUAUCCAGCCUUUCAUGUUGAAAAAA
This 1821-nucleotide long non-coding RNA is filed under the name Helianthus annuus (common sunflower). RNAcentral's name for it is "hypothetical non coding rna". The record is from RNAcentral. Lineage: Eukaryota; Viridiplantae; Streptophyta; Magnoliopsida; Asterales; Asteraceae.